RNAcentral lists this ribosomal RNA (258 nucleotides) under uncultured bacterium. RNAcentral's name for it is "partial 16S ribosomal RNA". It matches the Rfam family "Bacterial small subunit ribosomal RNA", at positions 793 to 1055 of the family's 1533-position model. The record is from RNAcentral.
GUCCACACAGUAACGAUGAAUACUCGCUGUUUGCGAUAUACAGUAAGCGGCCAAGCGAAAGCGUUAAGUAUUCCACCUGGGGAGUACGCCGGCAACGGUGAAACUCAAAGGAAUUGACGGGGGCCCGCACAAGCGGAGGAACAUGUGGUUUAAUUCGAUGAUACGCGAGGAACCUUACCCGGGCUUGAAUUGCAGACGAGUCAUCCGGAGACGGAUGAGCCGCAAAGGCGUCUGUGAAAGGUGCUGCAUGGUUGUCGU